RNAcentral lists this long non-coding RNA (241 nucleotides) under Sarcophilus harrisii (Tasmanian devil). RNAcentral describes it as "lncRNA (ENSSHAG00000029393.1)". Lineage: Eukaryota; Metazoa; Chordata; Mammalia; Dasyuromorphia; Dasyuridae. The record is from RNAcentral.
UACAAUUCUGAUUUUCAUUGAUUUCUGGUACAGCUACAAGUGCUAUAUCUCCUUGACAAUACUGAAAUCACCAUGUCAUAGAUGUGAAGGUGGAAAAGAGGUGGAGAGGUUAGGAAACUGAGAUCCAAAGAAAUGACAUGAAUUGUCCAGUAUGAACAUUGGACUCUGCUCCUGCAUCCUCAAUCCUGGGGCCCUGGCAGAAAAAAUGAACCUGGACUUGAUUGGAAGAAAGGAAAACAAG